This 72-nucleotide transfer RNA is filed under the name Rattus norvegicus (Norway rat). It matches the Rfam family "tRNA". From Rfam's summary of the family: Transfer RNA (tRNA) molecules are approximately 80 nucleotides in length. Their secondary structure includes four short double-helical elements and three loops (D, anti-codon, and T loops). Lineage: Eukaryota; Metazoa; Chordata; Mammalia; Rodentia; Muridae. The record is from Rfam by way of RNAcentral.
GGGGCUGUAGCUCAGUGGUAGAGUGCUUGCCUAGCAUGCAUGAGGACUUGGGUUCCAUCCCUAGUACUCUUA